GAAGCGGUGGCUCAAUGGUAGAGCUUUCGACUCCAAUUAAAUUCUGGAUUAUAAGGAGACAAUUGCAAUCGAAAUCGAAAGGUUGCAGGUUCGAUUCCUGUCCGUUUCA
Molecule: transfer RNA, 109 nt
Organism: Tetrapisispora phaffii CBS 4417
Lineage: Eukaryota; Fungi; Ascomycota; Saccharomycetes; Saccharomycetales; Saccharomycetaceae
Rfam family: tRNA
About the family: Transfer RNA (tRNA) molecules are approximately 80 nucleotides in length. Their secondary structure includes four short double-helical elements and three loops (D, anti-codon, and T loops). Further hydrogen bonds mediate the characteristic L-shaped molecular structure. tRNAs have two regions of fundamental functional importance: the anti-codon, which is responsible for specific mRNA codon recognition, and the 3' end, to which the tRNAs corresponding amino acid is attached (by aminoacyl-tRNA synthetases). tRNAs cope with the degeneracy of the genetic code in two manners: having more than one tRNA (with a specific anti-codon) for a particular amino acid; and 'wobble' base-pairing, i.e. permitting non-standard base-pairing at the 3rd anti-codon position.
Source: Rfam